GGCCUAAAACUGGGAACGGGUCGGAUUGUACGCACCCUUGUGCGUGCCGUCUGUAACCGAAAACAGGUCCAGCGUGUGGCUGAGCGUGUGUGUCUGUGCACCCUGAUCCGAGUGGCCUAGCGCUGGGGCGGGCCCGUGAGUCCCGGCCAGGUGGGUUUGCAGGCGUCUCGACCCGCAGGUCCUGCCCUAGCAGUGGGAGCCCAGACAGACCUUCUACUGGGCAGUCAGCAAAUGAACAGUCUGUGGCAGUGAGCACCCUGUGCAGAGAGUACGGGACCCUCUGGAGGAGGUGAAAUUUUAGUGGAGACCUGGAGGAAAGCCUGGUAGAGCAAGGGAAAAGUUUUCCAAGAAGAGGAAAUUGCAUGUGCAAAGAGGGUCCGAGCUUGGCUGGCUGAGUUAGCUGAGGAGAGGUCUCUGGCCAGAAGGAGGCAGGCUUGGGUUCAUUCGAGCAGUUGGCAGAAGGGUGUCACUGGAAAGUGAGGAAUUGCAUAUCCUUCAGGGAGGACUCAACCCAGAAACGAAGACAGACCCACCCCAAGGAACCUCACCUACAGCUUCAGACACUAGACACAGAAGAGCCUGCAGGCUUUUGAAGACAGAAAAAGGCAGAUACAGGCCAUUCCAAAGUCCAGGGAGUGACGGGGCACUGGAUUUCAGCAGCAGUAACAGGCAAAAAACAAUGAACAGAGCAGUCAGAAAGAAUUCUGGACCGAAAUAUUAAAUAAAAAGCAAAGGCAGGGACUCCCCUUCUCUGAUGGUCCAGUGGUU
Molecule: non-coding RNA, 768 nt
Organism: Odocoileus virginianus texanus
Lineage: Eukaryota; Metazoa; Chordata; Mammalia; Artiodactyla; Cervidae
Source: RefSeq, a predicted model, not a curated record